This 451-nucleotide ribosomal RNA is filed under the name uncultured Fibrobacter sp. Its description in RNAcentral is "partial 16S ribosomal RNA". It matches the Rfam family "Bacterial small subunit ribosomal RNA", at positions 341 to 792 of the family's 1533-position model. The record is from RNAcentral. Lineage: Bacteria; Pseudomonadati; Fibrobacterota; Fibrobacteria; Fibrobacterales; Fibrobacteraceae.
ACGGAAGGCAGCAGUGGGUGAUAUUGCACAAUGGGGGAAACCCUGAUGCAGCAACGCCACGUGUGGGAAGACGCAUUUCGGUGUGUAAACCACUGUCGUGAGGGAAUAAGGACGCUUCUCGGAGCGUUUGAAUAUACCUCGAAAGGAAGCACCGGCAAACUUCGUGCCAGCAGCCGCGGUAAUACGAGGGGUGCAAGCGUUGUUCGGAAUCACUGGGCGUAAAGGGAGCGCAGGCGGAAGUGCAAGCGGUCUGUACAAUACCGGGGCCCAACCCCGGACCUGCAGACCGGACUGCAUUUCUUGGAUAGUUCAGGGGCAAGCGGAAUUCCUGGUGUAGCGGUGGAAUGCGUAGAGAUCAGGAAGAACACCGAUGGCGAAGGCAGCUUGCUGGGGACUUAUCGACGCUCAUGCUCGAAAGUGCGGGUAGCAAACAGGAUUAGAUACCCUGGUA